CAUGGAAAAAGGCAAAAUUAGUGAAAGCUAGUGACGCAAAACUACAGGGACUUCAGUAUGCCUUUUGCGGCAGACCAGUUAGCCAGUUACCCGC
Molecule: non-coding RNA, 94 nt
Filed under: Bacillus sp. (in: firmicutes)
Lineage: Bacteria; Bacillati; Bacillota; Bacilli; Caryophanales; Bacillaceae
Description: Bacillus sp. c-di-GMP sequence
Rfam family: c-di-GMP-I riboswitch aptamer
About the family: GEMM was predicted in a large-scale screen for bacterial structured RNA regulatory elements. Genes associated with GEMM are involved in a diverse array of functions, including chemotaxis regulation, signal transduction, secretion and chitin.
Source: RNAcentral